GGAUUGUAGUCUGNAACCCGACUACAUGAAGCUGGAAUCGCUAGUAAUCGCGGAUCAGAAUGCCGCGGUGAAUACGUUCCCGGGUCUUGUACACACCGCCCGUCACACCAUGGGAGUCGGAAAUGCCCGAAGUCUGUGACCUAACCGAGAGGGAGGAGCAGCCGAAGGCAGGUCUGAUGACUGGGGUGAAGUCGUAACAAGGUAUC
Molecule: ribosomal RNA, 206 nt
Filed under: uncultured bacterium
Lineage: Bacteria
Description: partial 16S ribosomal RNA
Rfam family: Bacterial small subunit ribosomal RNA
Source: RNAcentral